This is a long non-coding RNA of Sinocyclocheilus rhinocerous, 1025 nucleotides long. RefSeq lists it as uncharacterized. Lineage: Eukaryota; Metazoa; Chordata; Actinopteri; Cypriniformes; Cyprinidae. The record is from RefSeq and is a predicted model, not a curated record. The transcript is spliced from 2 exons.
GAAAAAAAAAGUAUUAAGAGAUUAAAGUGUAAAUAUUUAUGAAAAAACUCAGGAUUAGAACUCUGACUUUCACCGUUCGUUAAAAAUUGUAUGAUUCAUUUUUAGUCUUUGUUACUGCAGUCCCCCAGCCACCCACUUUUUAGCCGUUUUACAAAUUCCCAUCAUCACAGAUUAAUGAAUCAUUCCACGUGCUACCUCGCUCUACGCCCUCUUGACUGCUUGACCCCCAGAGCGACAGGGUGACACACACAGGGUGAAUCAUGGGAAAGCCCACAACCCUCCCUGACAGAAGCCGACCAGGGUUAGAUAAUAGCCUCUGUGAUGCAAUGGGCAACGGAUUCACUGCUGUGUGGGUAUACAACAGAUUUUUAUUUUUUUUUUUUUUUUUUUAAACGGACUCUGUCUUAUAAGAAGUGAAUAUGACUUAUAACAAGUACGUUUCUUCGUUUAUAAGACGACUGAAAUAAAAUACUGCUUUUAAUCAAAUGUAUGUAUUAGUAGUAUUUGUUAAUGCUUUAUUAGUGUUAAAGUUAUUUAUUAAUACCAUUAUCAACUAUUUUUUUAUUUGCUAAUUAACAAUAAUCACUAUUGCAGGCAUACUUUAUAUUAGGUCUUUAACUACUAUGUACUUAAAUAAAAAAAUAAAAAAAGUUAGGUACAAUGUAUCUAAUGUGUACACCUUGAAUUGCAAAACACUUGAUUGUUAUUGAGAUAGGCUUAGGUUAUCGAGAUACAGUUAUGGUUAGGAAGAGGUUUGGUUGUAUUGUUAGAUUUAAGGAUGGGUUAAGGUGUAGGGAUAGAAACAACUACAGAUGUAACUAAAGAAAUGAAUUAAAGAAAGGUAUUUUUUUUAGAUAUAAGUACAAUGUAUGUCCACAAUAAGUGCAUUGUAUCCAAUGAUUAAUUUAAAUGUAAGUACACAGCAGUUAGUGACACUUAAUAUAAAGUGGGUCCACUAUUACGAACACGAAUGAAUGCUCAACAGUUUUAAAUAACGUUAAUGUUAAUAAUGUCAGUUUAGAAAA